This 31-nucleotide non-coding RNA is filed under the name Rattus norvegicus (Norway rat). Lineage: Eukaryota; Metazoa; Chordata; Mammalia; Rodentia; Muridae. The record is from RNAcentral.
UGCGUGGUCUAGAACCAGUGAAGGGCUCCUU